AACGGCCGUACCAUGCUGAAUAUACCGGUUCUCGUUAGAACACCGAAGUGCAGCAUCAUUGGGCGCGGUCAGUACUUGGGUGGGUGACCACCUGGGAACACCGCGUGCC
This 109-nucleotide ribosomal RNA is filed under the name Caerostris darwini. The record is from RNAcentral. Lineage: Eukaryota; Metazoa; Arthropoda; Arachnida; Araneae; Araneidae.